RNAcentral lists this unclassified non-coding RNA (648 nucleotides) under Hevea brasiliensis (rubber tree). Lineage: Eukaryota; Viridiplantae; Streptophyta; Magnoliopsida; Malpighiales; Euphorbiaceae. The record is from RNAcentral.
CCCUUGAUUUCUUCUUGUUCUACAUCAAGCAUACUUAAGGAAUGAGCACCAACCAGGCAGAUGAGCAAUAUGUGGACAGGAACAAGCUUGAUCUUGCAGUACCAAUAAGACCCUUCCCCAGUAUGCUGUUAGGACUGCGCAAAGACCAAAUAAAAAUACAUCAGAGAAUUAUAGUAGGACCUUCCAUGAGUGGUGAGAUAUGGAACAAUAAUUCCUUGAAAAAAAAAUUCCCAAUAUUCGUUUCAUUUCAAUAGAAGAUCCAAUCAUGACUUAGGCAGGUGGUAUAAAACAGAGAAAACAAUAGGACAAAGAUGACUCAUUCCAAUCAAAUUCCUGGUAUGCUGACCAGAGCGAAGCAACCAGAGCACGAAAAGAGCAUAAAAUAAAGGGCUGAAAAAUGUGCAUGGUAAGAAAUGAUUUUGCCAACCCAGCCAGAUACAGCCUCUUUAUACAUGCUAAAACUGACAGUGUUAAUAAAAGCAUGCUGAAAAUUUUAUAAACUUCAGGUUCAGUUAUCUAUUCUGAAGCAUACUUGAGCACUUGAUUACCUUCUUGCAAACAAGUCAACACCAGCAUAACAUAUAGUCAAAUUAGAACAUCCUAAGUUCCUUACCACAACAUUUUCUUAUUUCACUAAAUUGAAAUCUG